GGCAUGGCCUGUCAGGCGGUGUCUCGUUCUGGUUCUCAGUCGAAGCGGAUCGCAGAGCAGGCGCAGCGGCUGUGUGCCUGUGGCUGGGCUGUGCCUUUGCUCUUGUUUCAAUAGGCCGAACCCACAUUUGCUGUCACAUCAGGUAUCGGUAUCCCCAUAGAAUCCAUCUGGAGUGUCAGUGCCUUCUUAAUGGAAAUUGUCAUUGCAGACAACAACAACAAAAAAGUUCAAACUUUAUUCAACUUUUUGGGGUAUUCAAUUCAACAUUAGCUUUGUGUUCUGCUCGAGAAAUACUUUCUGCUGAAUCAUCGCACUUCCAUGUAAUUUUAGGGGCAGCCCUCAUGAUGAUGAUGAUCAUGAUGAUGAUGAUGAUGAUGAUGAUGAUGAUGUUGUCCACUCGUACGCCGUAUGUUUUAAUUAGAAUAUCGUGAGUUGUUUGGCUUUCGAUCAUAUGGCAAACAAUAUCUGUGUGUGCUUAACCCGUGGGUGGCCAUCCAUUCCCAAUGACUUGGCACAAAAAAACACAAAGUAAACUCUGAAAAACAACAGGCAGACUAUAACUCGUUGAAGUCUUUCGAGGAGUUGCUGCCAUAAUUAUUAUUCCCUCUGCAUAUCUCCGCAACAUCAGAACUUGUCCGCAUUUAAUAAAGUAAUCAAAUCGCUCUUGAGAAUGGAAUUGGUUUUAACAUAAUGAGUUUUCGGUGGAGUGGGAACUAUGCAUAAAUAUUACUGGAAAAUGGGUUGUAAUUCGUCGAAUUUUUGGUAUGUGAAAUUUGAAUUGUGGGAACUUUAUCGAGGAAAUAAAAAGAUACGUUUUUAUUUGCAUUUAAGAUUAAUCAUUUUUUAUUCUAAUCAUUGCAGAACUCUCAUUAAAAGGUUGCCAAUUAGCGAAGUCAUUUCCAGUCGAAAAAACUGCUCCCCAUUGCCAUGGGAAACCUUGUGCGAAAAACCUGUUGCCCCAAAAUGCCAAAAAUGUUGCCAAGCUGCCCGCAACAUGUGCCUAGCCACGCACGUGGGUGGCUGCAACGAAACGAAAUGGAAACGAAACAAGUUCCACACAAGCAGCGCGCUUCGGGUUUUGGUCUUCGUUUGACGCACGAUUUGGACAAGUUGUGUGUACGCUUGAAGCGGGGAAAGGGAGUGCAGUACAAGAUAUGUGACCGGGGAAGAGCAUAGUCCAUGUCCAUGUCCAUGGUCAGGUCGGUCUCCAGCUUAAAGAGUAUUUCAGGUGCGGGUGGUGUUGACUUCAUUACCGGGGGGGUGGACACUUGAAACGUGGAGUAGGCGACAAACAGAGCCAGCGCGUACGGGGGGACAACACGUUGAGUGCGGUGCCGCCUAAUGACACACAGCAGAUACGACGAGGAGUACUUCAAACUCUUCUUCAUACGAUCUCUGGGUCGAACCCUCUCCCCCGUGUGUUUGUGUGUGCGUGAUAAUGAUACGUACGACCUGGGCACUGUUGACACCCAAAGCAUCCUUUAAGCCUCCAUCCAGCAGCGGCCAGAGCAUCCAAUGGCGUGUCAAAACGAGGUGUUAGAAGAGGAUUGCACAUGCAACAUGGGCCCUGGGCCGGCUGUCAUUUCUGUCUGGGUCUAACAUUGCGUGUCUGCGUCCUUCGCUUAUCGCUGCAUUUGGGCUUAAAAGGUGUUAAAACUGCCAACUGCUCAGUUAUCGCCCAAAGGGACACUCGCCUUGGCUAAAUGUUGCAUUAAUAAAUGUGCUUUCAUUUGCGGGUGCUGCGAGUGGUUUAAAGUUGCAAAUUCUUGGAGAAAAUGUUUAUAAUUUAAUGUAUAAUUAAUUUUAUAUCAAAGAAAAAAUAUGUUUAAUUUAUUUUUAGGCAGAUUAGAUACUAAAUAAAGUAGGAAAAUAUCCAAAAGAGAUUUAUGGGAAAGUUAUGUUGAAAUUAAAGAGUUCCUCCCCAGAGUUCCCUUCCAUUGCACACCUCGAAAAAAGGGUUCCCAUGGGUGACACAUAGCAGUCCCCUCUGCACCUCCCUCCCCACAACCAUAAUUCAAUAAAUAAGCUUCCCAUUAUA
RNAcentral lists this long non-coding RNA (2038 nucleotides) under Drosophila guanche. The record is from RNAcentral. Lineage: Eukaryota; Metazoa; Arthropoda; Insecta; Diptera; Drosophilidae.